Molecule: ribosomal RNA, 468 nt
Filed under: uncultured bacterium
Lineage: Bacteria
Description: partial 16S ribosomal RNA
Rfam family: Bacterial small subunit ribosomal RNA
Source: RNAcentral
GACGAACGCUGGCGGCGUGCUUAACACAUGCAAGUCGAACGGAAAGGCCCUGCUUUUGUGGGGUGCUCGAGUGGCGCACGGGUGAGUAACACGUGAGUAACCUGCCCUUGACUUUGGGAUAACUUCAGGAAACUGGGGCUAAUACCGGAUAGGAGCUCCUGCUGCAUGGUGGGGGUUGGAAAGUUUCGGCGGUUGGGGAUGGACUCGCGGCUUAUCAGCUUGCUGGUGGGGUAGUGGCUUACCAAGGCUUUGACGGGUAGCCGGCCUGAGAGGGUGACCGGCGACAUUGGGACGGAGAUACGGCCCAGACUCCUACGGGAGGCAGCAGUGGGGAAUAUUGCACAAUGGGCGGAAGCCUGAGGCAGCAACGCCGCGUGCGGGAUGACGGCCUUCGGGUUGUAAACCGCUUUCGCCUGUGACGAAGCGGGAGUGACGGUAAUGGGUAAAGAAGCACCGGCUAACUACGUG